RNAcentral lists this ribosomal RNA (416 nucleotides) under uncultured bacterium. RNAcentral's name for it is "partial 16S ribosomal RNA". It matches the Rfam family "Bacterial small subunit ribosomal RNA", at positions 355 to 762 of the family's 1533-position model. The record is from RNAcentral.
UGGGGAAUAUUGCACAAUGGGCGCAAGCCUGAUGCAGCCAUGCCGCGUGUGUGAAGAAGGCCUUCGGGUUGUAAAGCACUUUCAGCGAGGAGGAAGGGUUCAGUGUUAAUAGCACUGUUCAUUGACGUUACUCGCAGAAGAAGCACCGGCUAACUCCGUGCCAGCAGCCGCGGUAAUACGGAGGGUGCAAGCGUUAAUCGGAAUUACUGGGCGUAAAGCGCACGCAGGCGGUUUGUUAAGUCAGAUGUGAAAUCCCCGCGCUUAACGUGGGAACUGCAUUUGAAACUGGCAAGCUAGAGUCUUGUAGAGGGGGGUGAGAAUUCCAGGUGUAGCGGUGAAAUGCGUAGAGAUCUGGAGGAAUACCGGUGGCGAAGGCGGCCCCCUGGACAAAGACUGACGCUCAGGUGCGAAAGCGU